RNAcentral lists this small RNA (510 nucleotides) under Pongo abelii (Sumatran orangutan). Its description in RNAcentral is "processed transcript". Lineage: Eukaryota; Metazoa; Chordata; Mammalia; Primates; Hominidae. The record is from RNAcentral.
CACUCUCGGCUUUCGAGUACCCGGGGCCCAAGCGGAAGCUCUACAGUGCUGUACCUGGGAGGCUCUUCGUCGCCGUCAAGCCAUACCAACCCCAAGUGGACGGCGAGAUCCCCCUUCACCGUGGCGACAGGGUCAAAGUUCUGAGCAUCGGCGAAGGGGGCUUCUGGGAAGGCAGCGCCCGCGGCCACAUCGGAUGGUUUCCGGCGGAGUGCGUGGAGGAGGUCCAGUGUAAGCCCAGGGACAGCCAGGCAGAAACCCGCGCUGACCGCAGCAAGAAGCUUUUCAGGCACUACACCGUGGGCUCCUAUGACAGCUUCGACACUUCCAGGUGGAAUGGCUGUGAAGGAAGGAGGCAGGCAAGCCACCAGGUAGCCAGAUCUUCUAGGCACAGCAGGUUUGAGUUCGUCUGAUGUGUAGAAAGAGCCCUGCGUCUUUGACAAUGUGACUGGCACAGGCACAUGGUUGGAUUUUUCUGCAGAAACCACACCUGUGUGGCACCAGCUGUGGGGA